UCGCGUAAUUGUUCCGCAAAUGCGGGACGACAUUAUCAACUAAUUUUGCAGCACAUGACAUAAUAUGUGAAUAAUGUGUCUUUUUUAAGACGAUUUGGUUUGUCUGAAUGGAGCAGUUCAUCUUGAUGGGGCGUGUUACAAGUUUUUCCAGGAUAGGAAAAACUGGAGCGAAUCAAGUGAAUACUGCAAUCAGGAAUUUAGAGGACACCUUGCCAUUGUGAAUACAUCCGCUGUGUUUAAUUAUAUAAAAUCAAUCGUUAUUCAACAAAAUAUAGAGUUCACUUGGUUGGGAGCAACAGAUAACGACAGCGACGGUGUUUUUCAGUGGGUGGACGGAGGAGCUUGUUGUCCGAACUGGUGGAUACCUGGUCAACCGUCAAAACUUUCUUAUCCAGAGAAAUGUUUCGGAAUAUGGAAGAAGUAUGGUUUAAUAGGCACUGAUAAUAAUAUAUGCAGGGAACGAAACGCUUUUGUUUGCCAAAAUAAAGGCUGUCUCAACGUCCCAAAUUGCCGCCGCCAAAGUUGUAGCAAUAUAUCGU
This is a long non-coding RNA of Mercenaria mercenaria, 539 nucleotides long. RefSeq lists it as uncharacterized. The record is from RefSeq and is a predicted model, not a curated record. The transcript is spliced from 3 exons. Lineage: Eukaryota; Metazoa; Mollusca; Bivalvia; Venerida; Veneridae.